GACGAACGCUGGCGGCGUGCUUAACACAUGCAAGUCGAACGCUGAAGCUUGGUGCUUGCCCUGGGUGGAUGAGUGGCGAACGGGUGAGUAAUAAGUGAGUAACCUGCCCUUGACUCUGGGAUAAGCCUGGGAAACUGGGUCUAAUACUGGAUACGACAUGUCACCGCAUGGUGGUGUGUGGAAAGGGUUUUACUGGUUUUGGAUGGGCUCACGGCCUAUCAGCUUGUUGGUGGGGUAAUGGCUCACCAAGGCGACGACGGGUAGCCGGCCUGAGAGGGUGACCGGCCACGCUGGGACUGAGACACGGCCCAGACUCCUACGGGAGGCAGCAGUGGGGAAUAUUGCACAAUGGGCGGAAGCCUGAUGCAGCGACGCCGCGUGGGGGAUGACGGCCUUCGGGUUGUAAACCUCUUUCAGCACGGAAGAAGCGAAAGUGACGGUACGUGCAGAAGAAGCGCCGGCUAACUACGUG
Molecule: ribosomal RNA, 472 nt
Filed under: uncultured bacterium
Lineage: Bacteria
Description: partial 16S ribosomal RNA
Rfam family: Bacterial small subunit ribosomal RNA
Source: RNAcentral